Molecule: ribosomal RNA, 465 nt
Filed under: uncultured bacterium
Lineage: Bacteria
Description: partial 16S ribosomal RNA
Rfam family: Bacterial small subunit ribosomal RNA
Source: RNAcentral
GACGAACGCUGGCGGCGUGCUUAACACAUGCAAGUCGAACGGAAAGGCCCUGCUUGCAGGGUACUCGAGUGGCGAACGGGUGAGUAACACGUGGGUGAUCUGCCCUGCACUUCGGGAUAAGCCUGGGAAACUGGGUCUAAUACCGGAUAGGAGCCAUUUUUAGUGUGAUGGUUGGAAAGUUUUUUCGGUGUAGGAUGAGCUCGCGGCCUAUCAGCUUGUUGGUGGGGUAAUGGCCUACCAAGGCGGCGACGGGUAGCCGGCCUGAGAGGGUGGACGGCCACAUUGGGACUGAGAUACGGCCCAGACUCCUACGGGAGGCAUCAGUGGGGAAUACUGCACAAUGGGCGCAAGCCUGAUGCAGCGACGCCGCGUGGGGGAUGACGGCCUUCGGGUUGUAAACUCCUUUCGCUAGGGACGAAGCUUUUUGUGACGGUACCUAGAUAAGAAGCACCGGCUAACUACGUG